Molecule: RNA transcript, 677 nt
Organism: Lonchura striata (white-rumped munia)
Lineage: Eukaryota; Metazoa; Chordata; Aves; Passeriformes; Estrildidae
Gene: CYSLTR2
Gene name: cysteinyl leukotriene receptor 2
Source: RefSeq, a predicted model, not a curated record
CCUGCAGUCUGAGCAACAGCAAGCAGAAGAAGGAAAUACUGAGCACACCAGAAGGCCCAUGAGCUGAGGUCUGAGCAGCUUCCCACUUUGGGGAGCACAGAGGGAAGGCAUGAUUCAGCUGCUCUCAUCUCACAUGUUGCAAAGUUCAUACUAUUCCACAAGGAUGUCACAGAGGAAAGCCAUUUUAGAAAUGACCUUCCUGCUGUAUGGGAUUUCAGCACUGCCUGCUAUAUGGGAUUUCAGCACCUACACACUGACUUGCAGUCAAGCUACCAUGUCUUCUAAAACUGUAAAAGGGUGGUAUAAUGUACUAUAUUUACAAACAAACAAACAAACAGACAAAACAACAAAAAAUAAGAAAAGGAAAAAAGAGCAGAGUUUACAGCAAUCAGGAGAAUAAAUUCAGAAGUCUAUGAAUUCUUCAAGGGAAAGAGAUUGGAAAAUGUUCUGUGAGAGCCUCCUGAGGACUGGACUGGAAUUGGCCUUCUUGUACUUUAGCUCAGAGAUCAAACACUUUUACAGAGAAGAAAAAGUGUGCUUUUGGUUUUCUCUUUUUCCUAAUGUACCAACUUAAAGGUGUCAUCCCUUGGGAAAAACUCUAGACUGAAGGGUGAAGAUUUUCUGUUUCCUUUUGAUGUUUUCAGAAUAAUCUCGUGGAAAAAUUAAUUUAGGGACAG